GGGGAAUAUUGCACAAUGGGCGAAAGCCUGAUGCAGCAACGCCGCGUGAGUGAUGAAGGUCUUCGGAUUGUAAAGCUCUGUCUUUUGGGACGAUAAUGACGGUACCAAAGGAGGAAGCCACGGCUAACUACGUGCCAGCAGCCGCGGUAAUACGUAGGUGGCGAGCGUUGUCCGGAUUUACUGGGCGUAAAGGGUGCGUAGGCGGAUGUUUAAGUGAGAUGUGAAAUACCCGGGCUUAACUUGGGUGCUGCAUUUCAAACUGGAUAUCUAGAGUGCAGGAGAGGAGAAUGGAAUUCCUAGUGUAGCGGUGAAAUGCGUAGAGAUUAGGAAGAACACCAGUGGCGAAGGCGAUUCUCUGGACUGUAACUGACGCUGAGGCACGAAAGCGUGGGUAGCAAACAGGAUUAGAUACCCUGGUAGUCCACGCCGUAAAACGAUGAGUACUAGGUGUAGGAGGUAUCGACCCCUUCUGUGCCGCAGUAAAACACAUUAAGUACUCCGCCUGGGAAGUACGAUCGCAAG
Molecule: ribosomal RNA, 522 nt
Filed under: uncultured bacterium
Lineage: Bacteria
Description: partial 16S ribosomal RNA
Rfam family: Bacterial small subunit ribosomal RNA
Source: RNAcentral